RNAcentral lists this ribosomal RNA (1437 nucleotides) under uncultured organism. Its description in RNAcentral is "16S ribosomal RNA". It matches the Rfam family "Bacterial small subunit ribosomal RNA". The record is from RNAcentral.
GACGAACGCUGGCGGCGUGCUUAACACAUGCAAGUCGAACGGAAAGGCCCUGCUUUUGUGGGGUGCUCGAGUGGCGAACGGGUGAGUAACACGUGAGUAACCUGCCCUUGACCUUGGGAUAACUUCAGGAAACUGGGGCUAAUACCGGAUAGGAGCUCCUGCUGCAUGGUGGGGGUUGGAAAGUUUCGGCGGUUGGGGAUGGACUCGCGGCUUAUCAGCUUGUUGGUGGGGUAGUGGCUUACCAAGGCUUUGACGGGUAGCCGGCCUGAGAGGGUGACCGGCCACAUUGGGACUGAGAUACGGCCCAGACUCCUACGGGAGGCAGCAGUGGGGAAUAUUGCACAAUGGGCGGAAGCCUGAUGCAGCAACGCCGCGUGCGGGAUGACGGCCUUCGGGUUGUAAACCGCUUUCGCCUGUGACGAAGCGUGAGUGACGGUAAUGGGUAAAGAAGCACCGGCUAACUACGUGCCAGCAGCCGCGGUGAUACGUAGGGUGCGAGCGUUGUCCGGAUUUAUUGGGCGUAAAGGGCUCGUAGGUGGUUGAUCGCGUCGGAAGUGUAAUCUUGGGGCUUAACCCUGAGCGUGCUUUCGAUACGGGUUGACUUGAGGAAGGUAGGGGAGAAUGGAAUUCCUGGUGGAGCGGUGGAAUGCGCAGAUAUCAGGAGGAACACCAGUGGCGAAGGCGGUUCUCUGGGCCUUUCCUGACGCUGAGGAGCGAAAGCGUGGGGAGCGAACAGGCUUAGAUACCCUGGUAGUCCACGCUGUAAACGGUGGGUACUAGGUGUGGGGUCCAUUCCACGGGUUCCGUGCCGUAGCUAACGCUUUAAGUACCCCGCCUGGGGAGUACGGCCGCAAGGCUAAAACUCAAAGGAAUUGACGGGGCCCCGCACAAGCGGCGGAGCAUGCGGAUUAAUUCGAUGCAACGCGUAGAACCUUACCUGGGUUUGACAUGGAUCGGGAGUGCUCAGAGAUGGGUGUGCCUCUUUUGGGGUCGGUUCACAGGUGGUGCAUGGCUGUCGUCAGCUCGUGUCGUGAGAUGUUGGGUUAAGUCCCGCAACGAGCGCAACCCUUGUUCACUGUUGCCAGCACGUUAUGGUGGGGACUCAGUGGAGACCGCCGGGGUCAACUCGGAGGAAGGUGGGGAUGACGUCAAGUCAUCAUGCCCCUUAUGUCCAGGGCUUCACGCAUGCUACAAUGGCUGGUACAGAGAGUGGCGAGCCUGUGAGGGUGAGCGAAUCUCGGAAAGCCGGUCUCAGUUCGGAUUGGGGUCUGCAACUCGACCUCAUGAAGUCGGAGUCGCUAGUAAUCGCAGAUCAGCAACGCUGCGGUGAAUACGUUCCCGGGGCUUGUACACACCGCCCGUCAAGUCAUGAAAGUUGGUAACACCCGAAGCCGGUGGCCUAACCGUUGUGGGGGAGCCGUCGAAGGUGGGACUGGU